UACAGAGGGGGCAAGCGUUGUUCGGAAUUACUGGGCGUAAAGGGCGCGUAGGCGGAUUGCUAAGUCAGGGGUGAAAUCCUGGAGCUCAACUCCAGAACUGCCUUUGAUACUGGCGAUCUCGAGUCCGGGAGAGGUGAGUGGAACUGCGAGUGUAGAGGUGAAAUUCGUAGAUAUUCGCAAGAACACCAGUGGCGAAGGCGGCUCACUGGCCCGGUACUGACGCUGAGGUGCGAAAGCGUGGGGAGCAAACAGG
Molecule: ribosomal RNA, 253 nt
Filed under: uncultured bacterium
Lineage: Bacteria
Description: partial 16S ribosomal RNA
Rfam family: Bacterial small subunit ribosomal RNA
Source: RNAcentral